This 220-nucleotide long non-coding RNA is filed under the name Mytilus galloprovincialis (Mediterranean mussel). The record is from RNAcentral. Lineage: Eukaryota; Metazoa; Mollusca; Bivalvia; Mytilida; Mytilidae.
AAAAAAAUAUGGGAAAAAUUGUGAAAAUUAAUGAAAUUGAGACAAACAGUUGUAUAUCUAUUGAUUUUUUUAUACUUUUCAUUAUGCAACAUCUUAAAUUUGAGAAAAUUUCACAUUUCACCAAAUUUCAAACCCCCUUUUUUCCCUAUUGGUUACCAUGGGAAUGGAGCGCAAUAUUGUAAAAAAAUGGUCUGAUAUAUUAGAAUUGUUUUACUUGACC